Non-coding RNA from Phrynosoma platyrhinos (Desert horned lizard), 72 nucleotides. NCBI's taxonomy places the organism in Eukaryota, Metazoa, Chordata, Lepidosauria, Squamata, Phrynosomatidae. The record is from the annotation of a GenBank genome assembly.
ACUAGUGUGGUUUAGUGGUUUGAGCGUUGGACUAUGACUCUGGAGACCAGGGUUCGAUUUCCCCCUUUGGCC